CGCAACCCUUGUCCUUAGUUACCAGCACGUUAAGGUGGGCACUCUAAGGAGACUGCCGGUGACAAACCGGAGGAAGGUGGGGAUGACGUCAAGUCAUCAUGGCCCUUACGGCCUGGGCUACACACGUGCUACAAUGGUCGGUACAAAGGGUUGCCAAGCCGCGAGGUGGAGCUAAUCCCAUAAACCGAUCGUAGUCCGGAUCGCAGUCUGCAACUCGACUGCGUGAAGUCGGAAUCGCUAGUAAUCGUGAAUCAGAAUGUCACGGUGAAUAACGUUCCCGGGCCUU
Molecule: ribosomal RNA, 286 nt
Filed under: uncultured Pseudomonas sp.
Lineage: Bacteria; Pseudomonadati; Pseudomonadota; Gammaproteobacteria; Pseudomonadales; Pseudomonadaceae
Description: partial 16S ribosomal RNA
Rfam family: Bacterial small subunit ribosomal RNA
Source: RNAcentral